RNAcentral lists this ribosomal RNA (253 nucleotides) under uncultured bacterium. RNAcentral describes it as "partial 16S ribosomal RNA". It matches the Rfam family "Bacterial small subunit ribosomal RNA", at positions 524 to 776 of the family's 1533-position model. The record is from RNAcentral.
UACGUAGGGUGCAAGCGUUAAUCGGAAUUACUGGGCGUAAAGCGUGCGCAGGCGGUUGUGCAAGACCGAUGUGAAAUCCCCGGGCUUAACCUGGGAAUGGCAUUGGUGACUGCACGGCUAGAGUGUGUCAGAGGGGGGUAGAAUUCCACGUGUAGCAGUGAAAUGCGUAGAGAUGUGGAGGAAUACCGAUGACGAAGGCAGCCCCCUGGGAUAACACUGACGCUCAUGCACGAAAGCGUGGGGAGCAAACAGG